GGUUUCUGAGAAUGGGUCCCUCCCAGUUCUGUAUUACAAAAGGCCCCAUGAUUCAGCAAUACCAUAAGAGGUCACUAGACAAAUGCCAGUCUCUGGCCCAUUGCUCUUCUUGGCCCGGUUCCCGAGGCUGUCAGGCGCCCCAUUCCAUUCCCCUCCUCCUCCACCCCCUUCCGCCCCACUUGAAGCAGAGGAUGUGUAGGAAUUUUAGAAGAUCUUUCUUUCACUCUUCCCCUAUCUGUGACAGCAAGGAAGGCCUAUCCCUGUGUCAGAAAGCAAUCAGCGUCAUUAUCCUCUAGCCAGAGCCAGGAAAGGCAAGGGGCUACCCAGUGGCCUCAUCUAGGAGGGUGGAUGGGACUGUAUCCUAUGCAGAAAUCACAGAAAACAGUCACUGCCUUGUUUCCCACAGCACGAGAUAAGACCGGGGCAGCCUGUCCACGCUGUGGCUCAGGAAAUCAGCACCUGAAAUGGGAGCCUCAACUCCAUGGCCCCAGAUGAACCAGGCCUGUUAGGUCCUGUUAUAUUUCCUCAAUGCCUUUUCCACAACGAAGUGAGUCUUAGGCAGCCCCCAGAAGCCUGGCUGCUACCAGAGUUGUCAGAGUCAGAGCCUGGGCCCUGGUAUCCCUAACAUCCUGGCUCAGCCACUCGUCCUCUACAGGCCCAAGGUCAAACAGACAGGUUGUGUAAAAUGCUCUGUCACGUGUCACAACUGAGUGGAUUAUCUCCCUGGAGACCAGUUCCCCCUCUGGCCAGCACUGAUCUUCAGUCGCUUCCUUCAUCCAGAGAGAAGCUAUCGGACUCCCUGGAGGGACCAGGAAAAGAGCAGAAACAUGAAGUGGAUGGGGUGGGAGAUGCUAGGGGAUGGCGGAUCCCAUGGGAACCAAGUGCGAAUGCUGUUCAGGGAUUGAUAAGCUGCUUAGCCUCAGUUGAUUGUCACUACGUCUGAAUGACUCUGGGGUUUAUUUAGGUUUUUAAGUAGAGCCAUAUAUCUGGUGUGUGUGUGCGCGUGUGCAUGUGCAUGUGUGUGGAGGUGCACAUGAGGAGUACGUUCGCACAAGUGUGUGAGUGUUCACGGAGAGCAGAGGUCAGCUCUAGGUGUCAUUCCUCAAAUACCAUUCGCCUUUACAAUUUUUUUUUUUUGUGAUUUCUCUGUGUAGCCCUGGCUGUCCUAGAACUCACUCUGUAGACCAGGCUGGCUUGGAACUCAAGAGAUCCGACUGCUUCUGCCUCUCAAGUGCUGGGAUUAAAUGUGUGUGCCACUAGAACCUGGCUAAAAAAUUUAAAUUUAUUAUUAAUAUGUGGAUACAUGUUGGGCAUUCAUGCUGUGCCGUGCACGUGAAGAUAUAAGGGUAGGUUUGUGGAGCCGGUUCUCUCCUUCCACAUUUACAUGGACUCUGGGAUCAAACCCAGAAUGUCUGGCCUGGACAGCAAGGACAUUUAGCUAAGGCCACCUUGCAGACUCCCAUCUGCAUUUUUUUUUUUGAGACAUGCUCUCUCACUAGUCUGCAGCUUGCUCUUUCAACCAGGCUGGCCAGAGAACCCCAACAAUCUGUUUGUCGUUCCAGUUCUGGGACUGAACAUCACCAUGCCUGGCCUUUUUAGCUUGGAUUCUGGGAAUUCAACACGCACGCUUGUAAGGCAGAUGUGUUGCAGAUUACAUUAUCUCCUCGGCCCACAGUUGAAAGUUUGUGCCUCCUUUUUCCUUUCCAAUACCGUAUGGGCCAAACAAACUAUGCCUAUAAGCACGUAUUGGGACCAGGGAGGCAUCCUAUACAAGGUAAGAGCUGGAACAGAGGAAGACCCACGUGUGGGAGGGGCUCUCCUAGCCACAUGGAGAAGUAAGAGCAUCUCAGUGAAGGUAAACUGAGUCUUGAGUGACAGCAGUGCUGGCACAGGUCAUGACAUGGUGCAUCCUUGAAGAGUAACGCAAACCAUCACACAGACUGGGCGAGCCUCACCCCAGGCAAGUAGCAGCUCAGCCAGCUACACUGUAUAUGGCCAUACAGCUGCCAUUUCUCAGCCGUCCUUGUAACCGGGUCGGUGGCCAUGUGACCAGCGAGGUCUCUGUUCUCAUCGGAGAAGACUCCCAUUCUGCCCACCCUGGUCCUGGCUAGUGGAGUGGUCACCCUGAGCUUAGGGCAUGAAGCUGGUUAAGCCUCUUUGGUUUCUGUAAAACUGAGGCAUGUCCAGCCCAUAGGGAGGUUGUGAGGGUGAAGGGGAUCUGUAAGGGAUGAAGAACUGUGCCUGGCGUGCUCUGUGUCCCUGGCAUUCUGCCUACCACAUUAUGUCAGGACAUGCUGAUGAGGCAGAGAAAGAAAAGAAUGGGAGUCUGUCUCCUGGCUCCUGACGCAGUUCUAUGCUGGCAGGCGGGGAUAAGUCAGCCCAUUACCCGCUGGUCUAAGCUAUAGGAUUCUGCAGAGUAACACAGGCCAACUGGGUCCUUCCUGGUUUGUGGAAACCAGGUAAAAGGGUGCCAUAUUGCUCCAAAUACAGACCUGGUGACUUGUAUAACGCUCCCAUAUCCAGACAUAGGUGGCUCUUGGAGCCCUAUGCCUUGUGGGCUCAGAUUUUCUUGUGUCAGAAUGUUUAGUACCACCUAAAUGACGUCAUGGUAACUGUCUCUUUCUUCUCAUUCCAGUUGUUCGAAAGAGCGUCUUUCCCUGGUGCAGUAUGAUAGGCUGAGUUGGCUUUGCUGAAGCUGUGUCCAGUGGAGCAGGGCAGGGUAGUAACAACCUUUGAUUCCCCUGCCAGGCCUUCCUGCCCGGCCCGGAACAUGGUUUUCCAGUUGACUCUGGGGGUUCCAAAGCAAAGAAUUUUGCUCACAGCAAGAGAAAGUGACUGGUCCUGUGGUCCCUGCAGAGAGGCCUCACCUCUCCUGUGCUGCUCUUAACCUGAGAGUGCACAGGGCACCUGCACUGUUCGGCCAUCCCGGGAGACAUCCUGCCCUUACUGCUGACAGACUUUAGCUGAAGGAUGGAUCCCACAGAGACAACAUGGAGGCCCUGGGUACUUCCACCUCACAUCCCUUCCUUGCCCCUCACUCUGGUCUUGCAGCCCUGCAUCAUAGAGGGGCUUGCUCUCAGCACUCUCUCCUACUCCCUUCUCCCCACUCCUCUCCCAAUCCCCCCAGUUAAACUCCUAUAUUAGAUAUCUAUUCUUAACACCCGUUCUCCCAUAAUGACACACGGCCAUGUUCUUGGGAAGAAGAGUUAGGAUAUGUUUUCUUUUCCAGCCCCUGGGACACAUUCCCAUUAAAGGAAACAAUGCUUUGCUACAGUUAGGGCUCAGAUACCAGGCAUAUAUUUUGGUGGGUGUAGCAGCCUCUGUGUGAGGGUCUGGUUCUGUUCCCACACAACACAAAGAGUCAGAGUGGCACCUAAGAGUUGGAGAAUUCUGGGAGCUUUUCCUAGCUCCCUUCCAUGUCUGGGAGGGAGGAGAGAGGUCACUUUCCACAGCAGUCUGGAUGCUUCUGGUCACGUGAGAGCACAAUGGCUUAUUUGGUGCCUUUCCUUUUCGCAAGUGAGUGAACUACCUAGAGUUCCACAGGAGGACUGUCAGGCCUUGUGCCUUUUUUUCUUCCGAUGUGAAGAGACGAGAUUACACGUUUGGCUUACACAAUCAGGAUUCGGUUUUGAGGCUGGGGCUGGGGUUGCCUCACCUGAGGUUUUUGGGUUCUGUUUGUGGAUAUAGAUAUGGGGUUCUUGGAGAGGGCACCAAGGCCUUCUGCCCUUUCUGGCUUUGAAGUUUUGCUGUCUCCGUCCUCACCUCCCGCCACGUGGGCUGCUCCUCCAUUUCAAUUUUUCACAAUUAUCUCUUGGUCCCAAAGGCAGGGGUUGUUUCUUGCUCUCCUGACUCUACUUGACUCCAUUUGGCACCUUGCUGACAGCUGGUAUUCACAUAAUUCCUGCCCACCCCCCCGCACCCCCCAUCUUAUUGAUUUUGGCUUAAAAGAUCACAAUCUUCCAAAAUAGUCAGCAGUAAUGAAAGGUCAUAGACUAAUAACGUCUGAUCUGAUUUAAUAUUGAAAAUGAUGGCUGAGAUCCUGCCAGUUUAAUGUCUGACCAUAUCUGAACGCAAGCCUGGUGGGUGUCUGUUGUGGUUUGCCCUGGAGUUAUCUGUAUUUUGAUGAUAAUUCCACUGCCCCAAGGACAGCUGCCUUGUCACAUGCUCAGGACUCAGGUGACUUCACUAGAACCUUCUCCCCAUUGGAUUUAUAAAAUACAGGUGAGGGGCAGGUACAGGAUAGAAGGAGGCCUGCCAUUGGAGGAGAAGGAAGGAUGGGUGGGAGAGAAGUUUGAAGGAAGAGGAGGAGAACAGAAAGGGGAACAGACAGGAGGGAGAGGGUGAGAAGCCAUGGCAGGUGAUGUUAAGAUUCCACUCUAUGUAUUUACAAGUUGUUAUUAAUGUUUUUUAAGGGAUGAAUGGUACUGGGCUUUGUAUGUUUAGGUGGGCAAUUAUAUCUUACCAAUUGGGUCAAAGGUUAUUGUGUUGUGUGUGUUCUUUCAUGUGCAGAUUUAAGGGUAAGGGAGUGUGGGGCAGCUGGUCUGGGCCGCCAUGGAAUUGGAAUGUGUGCUUCUGGCAAGAUAUCUUGGGGCACUGAGGUGCCAAUCCUAGUGGGAUAAAAGACAACAGUACUUUUUUUUUUUAAUUUUUUAUAUUUUACAACAACAGGUGUCCAGUCCUGGUGGCAUGCUCUGUAAUUGAAAACAAACAAAAACAAGCACUCCUCUCAGAUUUAAACCACCAUUGCAAAGUUGAUGGGAGCGAGCUUUCUCUGGGAUGCUGAGCCACUUCAGUUGUGUAGCUGAGAUUUUGUGAAAAACCAAGGACACAGGAAAUUUAGUGGGAAGACAGUUCUGUGAUCGAUUAACAAUGUCUGCCCAGGGGGCUGAAGGAAAAGUGGCACAAUUUCUGGUGGAUUCUGGGCGAGAAAAUCUUGAAGAUCCAACUCUCUCUAAUAUUCUUGGACUCCUCUCUAUAGUUAAUACGUGAAAUUCCAACUGUUUGGACAACUGCCUGAGUUUCUUCUGUUGCUUUGAUAAAGUGGAUUCACAAAAGCAACUUAAGGGAGAAAGGGUUUGUUUAACUUACGCUGCCGGGUUACAGCUCAUGUUGUGGAGAUGUCACAAGAACAGAGAGAAAACAAACACUAGUGACUAGCUCGUUUUCUUCAUUCUCCUACAGUUAAGAGUCCCCCCUUCCUAGGGAAAGGUGCCGCCCACUGUGGGCAGGUCUUUCUGUCUCAAGUGAUGUAGUCAAGAAAUGUCCCCCUAGACAUGGCCAAAGAGCUGUCUCCCAGCUCAGUCUAGAGUGUGUUGAGUUGACAGCUAAAACUAACAUUCACAGCCACCUAGCACAGUCAGGAAUCUGGACUCCCAACAGGGAUGGUAGCUGUAUGACCCUGGGUUUCUGUCUCUUCAAAUAUACUGCUUUCCUUGUAGGAUUUCUUAGGCAGACAGAGGCAGAAAGAAAAUCUUGGCUUGGAUUUCUUCAUAAGAUGUGAAUUUUGCGUUAUGAUUUAAAGACAGAUGAAGAUGCUGGUGUAGAUGAGGAUUAGGUAUACAUGUCAAUGUCAGCAAGUCUUCCUGUAUUGUAAUAAAAUACUUUAGACAACCAA
This is a long non-coding RNA of Rattus norvegicus (Norway rat), 5614 nucleotides long. RefSeq lists it as uncharacterized. Lineage: Eukaryota; Metazoa; Chordata; Mammalia; Rodentia; Muridae. The record is from RefSeq and is a predicted model, not a curated record.